This 468-nucleotide ribosomal RNA is filed under the name uncultured bacterium. RNAcentral's name for it is "partial 16S ribosomal RNA". It matches the Rfam family "Bacterial small subunit ribosomal RNA", at positions 28 to 507 of the family's 1533-position model. The record is from RNAcentral.
GACGAACGCUGGCGGCGUGCUUAACACAUGCAAGUCGAACGGAAAGGCCCUGCUUUUGUGGGGUGCUCGAGUGGCGAACGGGUGAGUAACACGUGAGUAACCUGCCCUUGACUUUGGGAUAACUUCAGGAAACUGGGGCUAAUACCGGAUAGGAGCUCCUGCUGCAUGGUGGGGGUUGGAAAGUUUCGGCGGUUGGGGAUGGACUCGCGGCUUAUCAGCUCGUUGGUGGGGUAGUGGCUUACCAAGGCUUUGACGGGUAGCCGGCCUGAGAGGGUGACCGGCCACAUUGGGACUGAGAUACGGCCCAGACUCCUACGGGAGGCAGCAGUGGGGAAUAUUGCACAAUGGGCGGAAGCCUGAUGCAGCAACGCCGCGUGCGGGAUGACGGCCUUCGGGUUGUAAACCGCGUUCGCCUGUGACGAAGCGUGAGUGACGGUAAUGGGUAAAGAAGCACCGGCUAACUACGUG